GCUAGUUUGCUUGGGAAGUUAAAGGGGAAAAUUUAAGAUCUUUUGCACAUAAGUGUGCGUGGGUUUGAACCCCACAACUAGCA
RNAcentral lists this transfer RNA (83 nucleotides) under Ipomoea nil (Japanese morning glory). It matches the Rfam family "tRNA". Rfam says of the family: Transfer RNA (tRNA) molecules are approximately 80 nucleotides in length. Their secondary structure includes four short double-helical elements and three loops (D, anti-codon, and T loops). Further hydrogen bonds mediate the characteristic L-shaped molecular structure. tRNAs have two regions of fundamental functional importance: the anti-codon, which is responsible for specific mRNA codon recognition, and the 3' end, to which the tRNAs corresponding amino acid is attached (by aminoacyl-tRNA synthetases). tRNAs cope with the degeneracy of the genetic code in two manners: having more than one tRNA (with a specific anti-codon) for a particular amino acid; and 'wobble' base-pairing, i.e. permitting non-standard base-pairing at the 3rd anti-codon position. Lineage: Eukaryota; Viridiplantae; Streptophyta; Magnoliopsida; Solanales; Convolvulaceae. The record is from Rfam by way of RNAcentral.